This is a long non-coding RNA of Gallus gallus (chicken), 2327 nucleotides long. Lineage: Eukaryota; Metazoa; Chordata; Aves; Galliformes; Phasianidae. The record is from Ensembl.
CUUUGAAAAAAAGAAAUAUGCUACAAAUGUGGUACUUCAGCACCUCCGUAUCAGUGCAGGGGGAACCUACCAAAAGGGCAUGCUGAUACCCCUUUUUGUCCCAGCUGGACUUCUCACCAUCAGUCAGUGAAGUGACACAAAUGAAUCCCCCGAUGCCCAAAGAGUGUGCAAAAUGCCAUCAUAGUGCUGUAUUUUACCCGAUUGCUGUGGUUUGCUUCUCUCCCUUCAAGUCUUCUUAAAGACCCCAACCAGCACAUGAAAGGCAAAAUACCAUCCCCUUUUCUUGCUUUUCCCUAGUGCCAUGGCCUAAUUUCUAACAUAACAUUUUUGGCAAGUUCCAGUGCAAGGCUCCUUGUUUGGUAUUACUGAAAUCUUUCCAUUUGGAUUAAUUUGGUUGGUGUUUAACUUUGCCUUAUAUGCUUAAGUAACAGGCUGAGCAGAAUGCUUGUUACCUUGGGCAACCCAAAACUGACUGCUGAACUGCCAGUCAUUAACCAUUUACCUGGGACUUAACAACACUAUUUACUAAUCAAUAGUGAGAACCAUGGUAACCUUGGCUCUACAGAGCCUGAUAUCUUAUGGGAACCACGCUAAAGAAACACCAAUUCCUAGUCUUUAAUACCUGGUUCUUUUCUGCAAGGCUUCAGAGAAAGGUAAAUUUCCUGUUUUCCAUAUUAAUAAUCUCCUUUAAAGAAUAAAUUUGCAUUUCACCACCAUUUUUUUUUAAAUUUUUUCCCUUUCUCUUUUAACAGUUGUGAUGUGGCAGAAGAGGCAUGGUAUGGAUGGAGCAGAAGAAUGACGCAAGGAGGAGGUGUCUGAUGAGGCAGAAAGAAACCUAAUCUUUAAAUGCAGAUGAACUCCCCCAGAGACAGCUGAAACGGAGGGGAGAUCAGUGGGGAUGCUGUAUCACCUGACACAUCUGCUGCUGAUACGCCUGCCAGGAAAUGGGGAGUUGUGAGCAAGGUUUGAACCCUUAGGCUUUACUAAGGAGUAGCAAAUACAGCACAGAAUGAGGUCCAACAAGGUGGGAGGCAGAUGUGGUGAGCCUCUGGAAACUGCUGCCUCCAUCUAUGGCUGGGCUUGAAUGGAGUCAAAACAUGUCUGUGAAUAAUAGCAUACCGUUACAAGUCCAAGUCUUACACAGACACAAAUCAGGUUUACUUUCCUGAACAAAAAUGGGUUUGGACAUCAUAAUGAGCUACAUAUCACCUAGUCGGGUUUAUUCACCCCCUACAAUGGCUCAUCUUACCCUGAAGAUAAAGGAACUGCUGGCUGACCUCGUGCUUCAGAGUUCAUGGGCAGGGAGCCACUUUUGGAGGAUGGUUGACCUACACCUUGGAGCUACAGCAUCUGUUAGCAUCAGGCAAAAUACGACUAUUCAGGAAGAGCUGCCCUACACUUCGUUACAGGAACACUGGUCUCAAAAUUCUCCCCUCACUUCAGAGUCCACCUGCUCAGUGCCUUCCAACACAGUUGACUUCCUGCUGGCCAGUCACUGCAAGUGUCUGUGCAGAAAGACCACAUCAAUUAACAUUUUUUUGUUGUUAUUUUUAUUGACUCUUCGUGAUAUUUGACACCCGAAAAUGGGAAGGAGUGUCUACCUCGGUGAGACUAAGUAACAAGAGGAAGAGACAACUGAAAACGGUUAAGAGAAACUCAGCCCAGAACAAUGUGGGACAAAGCAUUUAUUUCCUGGAGAUGCUUCUCUAAUGAAAAAGUGCUAUGAGAAAAAUUCCGCCGUCUACAGAGAAUCAGAAAUCAUUCAGAGAAAAUGGAUUAAGGCAAUUUUCCUAUACUUUUUUUAAAAGAAGCGAGCAGUGGAAACAUUUCAUUAUCUCCAUGAGAGAUUCAAAUGCACUUGUGUGUGCUGCAGGGAUAAUGGCAUUUCCUGGGACCCUGAAGGUACUUUGGCCUCAUCCCAUGCCUGGCUAUCGGUGGAAGCUUUCAGUUAUCCAAGCACAAGGAAAAUGUUUGUUUAAAUAAAAAAGGAGUAGCGUGAGGCCAGUUCUGUGGAGUUUCUUAGAGUGUUAUCUUGCAAGACUUUUUAUUUAUUAAUGGUAUUCAGCUUUGACAUUCAGAGGUCAGCCUUGUAAGGCAGCAGAUGCUUGGGACAUGUUUUCACUUGGCGAUGCUGAAGGUGAGAGAGAGCUUUGAAAGGACUGCUGGCAAAAAUGGUGUCUGAGUUUUGAAGUUUUGUAUGCACUCUGAAUAUUACCCCAUGCAGCUUGAAAUCUCAAAGAAAAGUAAAAAAUGCUAUCAUUAUUGACCAAUGGGACUGCAUUUACAAGUGUUCUCAUUUUCCUGGAAAAAAUGACAGUAAAAAUCAC